AAGAGAAAAAGUUUGGAAAAUCAAGAAAAACAAGUGAAAAAGGUGGUGAGUCCUCCGAUAAAGGCAAGGAAAUUGCAUCUGAGGACCAGUAGUUAGAAUACUUCGGAAAUCUGCACUCUAGACAUUGUUCAGGAUAGUCUAUAGAUAGCACAUUUCGUCGAGGACUAGCAUUGGAUUUGCAUUUUCCAAACUGUAGGUUCACUGUCUUUCUUAAUUUUGGUUAUUCGA
Theobroma cacao (cacao) is the source of this 228-nucleotide non-coding RNA. The record is from RefSeq and is a predicted model, not a curated record. Lineage: Eukaryota; Viridiplantae; Streptophyta; Magnoliopsida; Malvales; Malvaceae.